RNAcentral lists this ribosomal RNA (292 nucleotides) under uncultured bacterium. RNAcentral's name for it is "partial 16S ribosomal RNA". The record is from RNAcentral.
GGACUACACGGGUAUCUAAUCCUGUUUGCUCCCCACGCUUUCGUGUCUCAGCGUCAGUAUCUGUCCAGUUGGCCGCCUUCGCCACCGGUGUUCCUCUCGAUAUCUACGAAUUUCACCUCUACACCGAGAAUUCCACCAACCUCUCCAGUACUCAAGCCAAGCAGUUUCGAGUGCACUUCCUGGGUUGAGCCCAGGGCUUUCACACCCGACUUAUCUGGCCGCCUACACACGCUUUACGCCCAGUAAUUCCGAACAACGUUUGCACCCUCUGUCUUACCGCGGCUGCUGGCAC